UUUUCUCCCCUUCUAGCCCAGAGAACCUCCCUCCAGGUGGGUGAGCUUUGGUUUAAGUCGACUUCAAAAACAACGGAAAACUUCCUCCUUUCGUCCCCUCCACGGCAGUCGCCUGGGCAACUUUACGG
RNAcentral lists this long non-coding RNA (128 nucleotides) under Jaculus jaculus (lesser Egyptian jerboa). The record is from RNAcentral. Lineage: Eukaryota; Metazoa; Chordata; Mammalia; Rodentia; Dipodidae.